AGAGGAGGAUAAGAGAGAUUGUGCGAGUGCUUUCAAAUUUUAAAGAUUUGAAGCAAGAGGGGACUAGAAGAAAGGAUUACAUUGAGCAGUUUAAGAUGGAUUUAUGUUCAUACUAUGGUUACAAUGAUUUCCUUAUUGGGGUUUUUGUUGAGAUGUUCCCAGUUAAUGAACUCAUAGAACUUGUUGAGGCUUUUGAAAAGCCACGACCAAUAUGUUUACGCACAAAUACUUUAAAGACGCGGAGACGGGAUUUGGCUGAUGUACUCUUAAACAGAGGAGUAAACCUUGAUCCUUUAAGCAAGUGGUCAAAGGUUGGAUUGGUUGUUUAUGAUUCACAAGUGCCUAUUGGUGCUACUCCAGAAUAUAUGGCUGGUUUCUACAUGCUGCAAAGCGCGAGCUCAUUCUUGCCUGUGAUGGCCCUUGCUCCUCAAGAAAAGGAACGGAUUGUUGAUAUGGCGGCUGCACCUGGUGGUAAAACAACUUAUAUUGCUGCUCUUAUGAAAAAUAGUGGAAUAAUUUAUGCAAAUGAGAUGAAGGUACCAAGACUAAAGUCACUUACUGCAAAUCUGCAUCGCAUGGGAGUGACAAACACCAUUGUUUGUAACUAUGAUGGCAGGGAGCUUACCAAGGUUUUGGGUCACAAUGCUGUUGAUAGGGUGUUGUUGGAUGCUCCUUGCAGUGGGACUGGGGUCAUAUCUAAAGAUGAAUCUGUUGAAACCUUUAAAAGCUUUGAAGAGAUACAGAAAUGUGCCCAUUUGCAGAAGCAAUUGAUUCUUGCUGCAAUUGACAUGGUCGAUGCAAGCUCAAAAUCUGGGGGAUACAUUGUUUACUCCACAUGUUCCAUGAUGGUUGCUGAGAAUGAAGCAGUCAUCAACUAUGCUCUUAAAAUGAGGGAUGUCAAACUUGUCCCAUGUGGACUUGACUUUGGGCGUCCAGGGUUUAUCAGGUUUAGGGAACACCGUUUUCACCCAUCUUUGGAAAAGACAAGACGUUUCUACCCUCAUGUAAACAACAUGGAUGGAUUUUUUGUGGCAAAGUUGAAGAAAAUGAGCAAUUCAAUACCUACUGUUGCACCAUCUGAACCUUUAGAAUCAGUUGAACAAGCUUCUGUACCAAAUGAGAGCAACAGGGAAAAGAAAAUUGCAGAGCCUUUGAAGAAGACAGGUGCUAUGAAAAAAGGUGGGGGACUAAUUAAUGGCGUGUCUGAUAAUAGAAAUGUGGAAUCCCCAUCCCCUGCCGAGAACAGAAAGAAAAGAAAAUUUCCAUCCAGAGAGGAAAUCUCAAAAGUCAGAGAGGAGAAGAGAAGAGCUUUGAGGGAAGGCAAAAAGAAGACAGCAAGGAAGAGUGGCACUAAAGAAUGACCAGCUAGUUACAUAACAAAAGCAUGGUAACUGAUAUUUUUAUUUGGUCAUACAAAGAUGUAUUUGCUAGAAGUAACAUACUUGUGCAAAAUCACAGUAGGAAAUGCAUAAACCUUUCACCAGUUGCACAACGUCCAUAUUUAUUUACUUGUGGUGUUUAAUUUU
RNAcentral lists this unclassified non-coding RNA (1526 nucleotides) under Hevea brasiliensis (rubber tree). Lineage: Eukaryota; Viridiplantae; Streptophyta; Magnoliopsida; Malpighiales; Euphorbiaceae. The record is from RNAcentral.